GGAGGCAGCAGUGGGGAAUAUUGCACAAUGGGCGGAGCCUGAUGCAGCGACGCCGCGUGAGGGAUGACGGCCUUCGGGUUGUAAACCUCUUUCACCAGGGACGAAGCGUAUUUGACGGUACCUGCAGAAGAAGCACCGGCUAACUACGUGCCAGCAGCCGCGGUAAUACGUAGGGUGCGAGCGUUGUCCGGAAUUACUGGGCGUAAAGA
Molecule: ribosomal RNA, 209 nt
Filed under: uncultured actinomycete
Lineage: Bacteria; Bacillati; Actinomycetota; Actinomycetes; Actinomycetales
Description: partial 16S ribosomal RNA
Rfam family: Bacterial small subunit ribosomal RNA
Source: RNAcentral